AAAAAAAAAUAUUGAAAAGCAGCUGUAAAAGAAGAGAUUUUGGCAAAUAGAAAAAUAACAAGAACUCUGUAUUGUUCAUUUAAUUUUUUUAUGUCUCUCUGUCAAUCCCUUGUGAAUGUUUAGGCAUGGUAAGCAUGUGCUCGGCAUCUGUUUCUGUCCACACAUCUGGAGAGAGUGGGAUGAUUGUAGUCAAGGUUUUGGGUUUGGCCUGGAGAGAACAAACACAGCAGAAGUAGAAACCAACCUCACCCCAAUCUCUACUUCCCUGUUCUCUAAAUCUUUCACUUCAACUCACGCACUUUAUUUCACUGUCAUACUUGUUCUAUUGUUUGUGUCGUUACUAUGGUAGAGUGCCAGUUCCGUUACUCUAGUUUUUUUUUGGGGGGGGGGACAGGCAACGUUGUGUGUCGUUGGUUGAAUGACCAACCAAUGUAUAUCAGCAUCUUUAGAGGAAGUGGGUUUAGACACCUUUUGUCUAAAUUGGGAUCUUCUCCAUCUUGAUAUAUUCAUGCCGGAAAUACUGGUUUAAUUGUCAAUACCAGACAGUUUUAGAAAUUAGACAGCGAACCACAACCCAGUAAUAUAUUGCAUAUUUAUCUUUGGUAACAUCUUGCAAAAGUACAAAUGUUACUAUUUUGUACGGGAGACAGAAGAUAAUAUUUAGUACAGGAGACAGAAAAUACUAUUUAGUAUGGUAGACAGUGGUAAGGAUAUACUAACAUAUUGACAUUCUUCUAUAAUUGUUUUACAUUUUCUAAAAAAUAAAUACAAUUUUGAUCAACAUUAAUACUCUUAUUUUGCUUUAUAACAACAACAAACAACCUACUUAGUCUACCGUGGGAUAUGAAUUUAACCUUUCAAAUUCCAUUUUGCAAUCUUUUGUUUUUACAAAAAAUUCCUGGGUGGGUGAGUGUGGGUGUCUCCCUCCCUGCAGCCUCCAGUCAGCUGGUACACUUAAAGGGGCAUACGGCUGUGUUUUACCGUGGCACUAAAAUGCAGCAGCAGAGUCAUUUUGCAUCAGAAUGGAAUGGUGGGGGUCAGAGGUCAGGGGCUAUGACUGUGGCAAGGGUAAAAUAGCUGAAUGGGGCUGGGGAAGAAGACAGUGUCUGCAUAGACAGUGUUUUUAUAUAGUGCCCUACUUUUGACCAUGGAAAUAGAGCAUGUUCAAAGGGCUCUGGUCAAAAGUAGUGCACUAUAUAGGGAAUAGGGUGCCGUUUGGGAUGCACACUGUCUGACAUCAACACUCACCAGGCAUGGGAGCCACGGCAACAUAGUCAAAAAUAUUUUGUACAUAAACAAUGUUUAAUUUAAUUUCUUGGUAGCUUACAUAUAUCAUUCUAGCUGCUCUGUAGGACUGUGUAAGAGAGAAAAGAAGAGAACAGAAGCGAAAACACUGCUUGUCAUCACUACAUACCAGAAUGCAGAGAGGGAGAAGAGAGAGACCGUGGGAGAGGAGAGAGAGGGAGAAGAGAGAGCGGAAGAGGAGAGCGACAGAGGGAGAAGAGAGAGAGAAGAGAGAGAGGGAGAAGAGAGAGCGGAAGAGGAGAGCGACAGUGGGAGAAGAGAGAGAGAAGAGAGAGACCGUGGGAGGAGGGAGAAUAGAGAGAGAAGAGAGAGACGGAGCAGAGAGAGCUGAAGAGGAGAGAGACAGUGGGAGAAGAGAGAAAGAAGAGAGAGACCGUGGGAGGAGGGAGAGGAGAGAGAGGAGAGAGAGGGAGAAGAGAGGGAAAAGAGAUAGGAAGAGGAGAGAAACAGUGGGAGAGGAGAGACAGUGGGGAGAGGAGAGAGAGGGAGAAGAGAGAGGGAGAAGAGCGAGACAGUGGGAGAGCGAGUGGGAGAGGAGAGAGGGAGAGGAGAGAGGGAAGGGAGAAGAGAGAGAGGGAAAGGAGAGAGGGAGAGGAGAGAGAGAGAAAGAGGGAGAGGAGAGAGGGAAAGGAGAGAGAGAGAGAGGGAGAGGACAGAUGGGGCGAGUUAAAGGGAGAGGAGGGAGAGGGAGAGAGAAAGGGAGAGGAGAGAGGGAAAGAGUAGGGAAACAGACAGGCAGCCCCUGCAUUUUUGGAUUUGAGGCCCCACAGUUCCCGAGGCUCAUGUUUCCGAAGUUGGGAGGUGUGGCAUUGAACUUCAUAUCGUCUUCUAAAGCACAACUACAAUGCUCACUAAAGUCACAGGCUCUAUUGUGUUAUUGACUGUACGUUUGUUUAUGUGUAACUCUGUGUUGUUGUUUUUGUCGCACUGCUUUGUUUUAUCUUGGCCAGGUCGCAGUUGUAAAUGACAACUUGUUCUCAACCUGGUUAAAUAAAG
RNAcentral lists this long non-coding RNA (2301 nucleotides) under Salmo salar (Atlantic salmon). Its description in RNAcentral is "lncRNA (ENSSSAG00000110127.1)". Lineage: Eukaryota; Metazoa; Chordata; Actinopteri; Salmoniformes; Salmonidae. The record is from RNAcentral.